UCUCACCCAUGGUAUCUAAUGUCUAGUUUUUAUGUAUUUGUAACUAGACAUUUCGUUUUAAGGGUGGAUAAAAAUGUUAACAGGUCUUGCGACACAGUUAGCUUCUUUCUAUCACAAGCUUUCUGUUACUAAAUCCCUGGUCACAUUU
Molecule: small nucleolar RNA, 148 nt
Organism: Gossypium raimondii (Peruvian cotton)
Lineage: Eukaryota; Viridiplantae; Streptophyta; Magnoliopsida; Malvales; Malvaceae
Rfam family: Small nucleolar RNA F1/F2/snoR5a
About the family: This family contains F1, F2 and snoR5a sequences, all of which are members of the the H/ACA class of snoRNA that guide the sites of modification of uridines to pseudouridines.
Source: Rfam